AACCCUAGGGGGCCCCAAGAGAUGCGGCCCGUGAACUCCUCUGAGGGGCACUAAAGUGAGGCGGCAGCCAGCACAAGCUCCCCAGGAAACCGUGAGCAGACUGGAUACGUGUACUUCAGGGCCCAGUGGGGUGGUGAGAAAAGGAACACCAACUCUUAGCGUAAAGAAUCGUCUGUUCGAGAGGCGUCCUUUCCUGGUUUGUAGUGAAAGCUCAGUCCUCUGAGCUGUGAGAUUUCAAAAAUUGAACGAGGAAUGGUUUUCCUUGGCAUUUUGUGAAUAUCUUCACAUCUCCAGUCAUAAAUAAAGCUAUUAUUUUACGGUCUCCUGUGUCUUUAUCUCCUAAGACAUUUCUACUGGAAGAGCCCGAUUCUGGCCUUUCUGUGUUGUAACAGCUUGUGCUAUGUCCUGCACCUGUGACAACUACUACAUUAAAAAGAGGUCAUACGCUGUCCAGGGCCUGGCAUUUGAGGAAGUGUUUUUAGAGGGUCUUGCAUGCACUGUUGUGUCUUUGGCUGCUCUAUCUUGCUACUCGUGGUGGGGAGUUGGACCUUCCGCCUCAUGUGCUUUGAUUCGUUUGCUGAAGUAACGCUGGGAAAAAGGAGAAGCGGGGGCCCAGGGAGAAGGGAAGAAACCUAUCCCAAACGAAGAAAUGACAGGGGCGGAAAGAAAGACCAGGCAGAGAAUCAAAGAAACCAUAGGCUUAAUCCAGAAAGAGGA
This is a long non-coding RNA of Leopardus geoffroyi (Geoffroy's cat), 717 nucleotides long. RefSeq lists it as uncharacterized. The record is from RefSeq and is a predicted model, not a curated record. The transcript is spliced from 2 exons. NCBI's taxonomy places the organism in Eukaryota, Metazoa, Chordata, Mammalia, Carnivora, Felidae.